UGGGGAAUUGUUCGCAAUGGGCGCAAGCCUGACGACGCAACGCCGCGUGGAGGAUGAAGAUCUUCGGGUCGUAAACUCCUUUCGAUCGAGACGAAUUUCCUUGGGGUGAACACUCCCGAGGAGUGACGGUACCGAGAGAAGAAGCCCCGGCUAACUCCGUGCCAGCAGCCGCGGUAAUACGGGGGGGGCAAGCGUUGUUCGGAAUUACUGGGCGUAAAGGGCUCGUAGGUGGCCAACUAAGUCAGACGUGAAAUCCCUCGGCUUAACCGGGGAACUGCGUCUGAUACUGGAUGGCUUGAGUUUGGGAGAGGGACGCGGAAUUCCAGGUGUAGCGGUGAAAUGCGUAGAUAUCUGGAGGAACACCGGUGGCGAAGGCGGCGUCCUGGACCAAUACUGACACUGAGGAGCGAAAGCCAGGGGAGCAAACGGGAUUAGAUACCCCCGUAGUCC
RNAcentral lists this ribosomal RNA (450 nucleotides) under uncultured bacterium. RNAcentral describes it as "bacterial SSU rRNA". It matches the Rfam family "Bacterial small subunit ribosomal RNA", at positions 355 to 796 of the family's 1533-position model. The record is from RNAcentral.